RNAcentral lists this long non-coding RNA (243 nucleotides) under Prunus persica (peach). RNAcentral describes it as "long non-coding RNA (PPER_LNC002265)". The record is from RNAcentral. Lineage: Eukaryota; Viridiplantae; Streptophyta; Magnoliopsida; Rosales; Rosaceae.
UUCGUACGAAGUUUGUUCUGAAAUGGUGUGGUUGGUGUAUUGCAUAGUUCUUCAGAUUGGAUUUCACUCAUAACCUACCAAAUGAUUCCUCCCACCAUGUUAUGAUUUUCCUGAAUUGUGGACUCAAUGCGAUAUCGAUUAGUUUAAGAAAUUGGACAAUUUGUGUUCGAAAGAAGUUCGUUAUGAAAUGGUGUGUUUCAUGUUUUGCAUAGUGUUGGUGAUAGGAUUUCACUCAAAACCGAC